This 617-nucleotide ribosomal RNA is filed under the name Weissella confusa. Its description in RNAcentral is "bacterial SSU rRNA". It matches the Rfam family "Bacterial small subunit ribosomal RNA", at positions 49 to 623 of the family's 1533-position model. The record is from RNAcentral. Lineage: Bacteria; Bacillati; Bacillota; Bacilli; Lactobacillales; Lactobacillaceae.
CUAUACAUGCAGUCGACGCUUUGUGGUUCAACUGAUUUGAAGAGCUUGCUCAGAUAUGAUGAUGGUAUUGCAAAGAGUGGCGAACGGGUGAGUAACACGUGGGAAACCUACCUCUUAGCAGGGGAUAACAUUUGGAAACAGAUGCUAAUACCGUAUAACAAUGACAACCGCAUGGUUGUUAUUUAAAAGAUGGUUCUGCUAUCACUAAGAGAUGGUCCCGCGGUGCAUUAGCUAGUUGGUAAGGUAAUGGCUUACCAAGGCGAUGAUGCAUAGCCGAGUUGAGAGACUGAUCGGCCACAAUGGGACUGAGACACGGCCCAUACUCCUACGGGAGGCAGCAGUAGGGAAUCUUCCACAAUGGGCGAAAGCCUGAUGGAGCAACGCCGCGUGUGUGAUGAAGGGUUUCGGCUCGUAUAACACUGUUGUAAGAGAAGAAUGACAUUGAGAGUAACUGUUCAAUGUGUGACGGUAUCUUACCAGAAAGGAACGGCUAAAUACGUGCCAGCAGCCGCGGUAAUACGUAUGUUCCAAGCGUUAUCCGGAUUUAUUGGGCGUAAAGCGAGCGCAGACGGUUAUUUAAGUCUGAAGUGAAAGCCCUCAGCUCAACUGAGGAAUUG